RNAcentral lists this long non-coding RNA (6976 nucleotides) under Glycine max (soybean). RNAcentral describes it as "long non-coding RNA (GMAX_LNC000344)". Lineage: Eukaryota; Viridiplantae; Streptophyta; Magnoliopsida; Fabales; Fabaceae. The record is from RNAcentral.
UAAAAUAAACACCGGAUAUUUUAGCUAUUUCUUAUAAAAUUCUAUUAUAAAAAAAAUUGUUUUUGAGUAUAGAUGUUCUUUGGUUCGGAGAUUCUUUGUUCCACAUCAUCUUGAUCUUGUGAGAUAAAUUUUUAACAGUGAAAUGUUUUCUCUCUAAGGACAACCUUUGUUUCAACCCAGGUAUUUUUAAACCGUUCCUAUAUUAUAUUUAUUCUUUAUAAUAAUUGAUUGUAAAAGCAUUUUAUGUGUUUUAAUUAUAGGUGAGAUUAUAACACUGCUAUAUUUGUUGUUUCUAGCUUCCUAAUUCUUUAUGGCACAAGAGCUAUCUUGAGCACUUUAUCUUGGGAUACGCGUUAAUAGCACAAGAAAUACGUACAAUGCAGCAAAGUUCCCUCAGCAAAGCAUGGUUUCCGUUUCGUGAUGGUUAUAGUCUAUGCCCUUAGUGCCAUUAUGCAUAAUAAUUAACUAAAGAACAAGGAUUCCCUAAAAAAAACACCAAAGAACAAGGAAAAAAAAUAUUUGAAAAUGAUAUGAUAAAAACAAGUGCAUUGUAUUAUAUAUGCUUGAUAAUGGUUAUAAUUGUUGUCUUUUAAAUGUAUUCACAUGGUUGGAAAGUAGAAUUUUAAGUUAAGAUCUGGAAGAAAACAUGGUCUUUAUUAUGCAUAGAAAAUUAGAGAAUGUGUGAGAAGAUGGCAUUGGAGUUACCCUAAAUUGCAGCAGUGUAAAUCACAAGUGAGCUAAGAUAGUCUUGACUGUCAUGUUCUUUAAAUUGUCUUGAACUACUAUCUUAACCGUGCAUGCACGGAAAAAAAAUUUAACUUAUUAUAUUAUGAUUAUAAUAUGUAAUUUGUUUUAUGAUAAAUUUGAUCAAACUAAAAAACUGAUAUCAAUAUAUAAAUUAUAAAUAUAUUGACAAAACAUUGAAAGAUAAUAAGAGUUUUUUAAUAUAUUAACAUAAAAUUCAUCAUACUACUUAUAUCUAUUUAUCAUCAUACUACUUGUAUCUAUCUAGAGUUUUGACAGCAGUUUGUGGUUACUAUAUUUCCUAAUCUAAUAUAAACAAUUAUUAUAUAAAUUUCAUUAAAUAAUAAAAAGUAAUAACAUAUAUAUAUAUAUAUAUAUAUAUAUAUAUAUAUAUAUAUUUAUAUAAUUAAAUCUAAAGUUGACCAUAAAGUGUUGUUUAUAAAAUAUUACUAAUAAUUAUUAAAGUUACAAUAAAAUAUAUAUUAUAUAUCGAUAUAAUAUAACCAUAAAUAUUAAAUUUUCUAAAAAAUUUUCUUCUUUGUUUGUUAUUUUUUUCUUUAAAAAUAAGCAGCUUCUUUUGUAAGAAGUUUUAGUGUUUGAUUCAGUUUUUCCUUAUAAGUAUUUGUGAUAUAAUUUUACAAAUUUUUUUAUAUCAAAUCAAAUAAAAUAAAUUAUUUAAGUCAGAAAAAGAGGAAGCCAUAAAAUUAUUAUAACUUAGAAGUAUCAUUAGAGAGUCUAACACCUUAAUCACACCUUAAUUAAGGUGCUAACUAAAUAAAAUGCAGAAAGUGAAAGAAAGAAAAGCAUUGUAUUGGUAUUGUUUGAUUUGAUAGUAUUUGUGUUGCAUUCCCUUGUACGUUUUCUCUGGUUAUAUUCUUUGUUGUUUCUGUCUUAUAAUAGAACAACGGAGUAUUCAUGUUGAGCAGUUUUAUGUAGAUGCAUUUUUUGUCUUUAUUAAUUGGAAUUUUACUUUGAUAAGAACCGUGACAUAUGUAUAUCCCAUAUUUCUAAUAUUCGUUUUGUCUCUUGUUACGUUAGUACUAUUAUUUAGGAUAUAAUAUUUUGUCUAUUUAUUUUCUUGUUAAAUUUAAUCUUAGUCUAUAAUUUUGGUCAUUGUGUUUAAUGAUAUACAAAAACGGAGCCAAGUUCAAGAGUAUAUUUGUCUUGAAAUUCACAAACAUCAAAUGGAGUUAAGAGUGAAAAAUCAAUUACAUCAAUUUUCAAAAAUAAGAAAUCAAAAUCAUCAUCAUUUUAAAAGUAACAAGAUUAUGAUUAAGUUUAUUCAGAAAAUAAAUAAAUUUUAUUCAGAAAUAAAAUUUAUUUGAAGACAAAUAGAUGUUACUAACUAAUUUGAAAGAUAAUUUUGGAAAAAUAAAUAUAAAUUAUUAAAUAAUUUAAUGUUAUUAACUAAAUUAAAUAACUUUCUUAAAUGUGAAUUAGGUAAAAUAAUUUUAUAUUUAAGAAUGAAGCCAGUUAGUUUUGUUUUGAUUAUUACUCAAAAGUAAUUUACUGCAAUACGUUAUAGUUACAACAGACCUUACUAGUUACUACUAACUACAGCUAAAGCAUCGUAUCUAUGAUUUUUUUUUUUUAUUUAUCCAUUUUUUUAAAACAACCACAUAUACUCUGUAUGGGACCAAUCCAAAUAUACUCUGUAUGGGGUUUGCUAAUAUACAUACUUCCUUUUCUAAUUGGAAUGCAUUAGCCAUGUACACCAAAAUAUUUGCACAUUAAACUCAUUCAACUUCUAUGUUUUAUUAUAUUUAUUUUAAGGAUCUUAUUGUAAUUUAGUUUUAUUUUUAAAAAAAUAGAUUUCUCUCUCCUCUUCCACUCAUGGCUCUCGUUCCAAAUUAACAAAGAAGGUUUGAUCAAUCCUUGUAACCUGCUUUGCCUCCGCAUUCUACUGCCACCAUCAUUUGUGACGAUGACGACCACGACAUCUCCGGUAGAAAACUCCACUGCAUCGUCAUCGCACUAUAGUAGAACUUGAAUUGUUUUUCUUUUAUCAUAGUCACACCUUUUCCCUCAUCAAAAACUUGUAUUUUUCAAUUGCACGAUAGGAUCAUGUGUUUCCAUGAUUCCAUGAAGAAACUUGUACAAUCCAUUAAGCAAAGGUGGUUAAAAGUUUUUUUUUUUCCGGUGACAAAAGUUGAUCCCCUCUCGUUACAAAGAAAAAAGUGGUUGCGAUUAAAAAUUUGUGAUGUUGCACCAACAACAUGAACAUGGAGGUUGGAGUAAGAGACGAUCACCAUGGAAGGACAUCUCUAAUAGGAGAUUUCAUUUUAGAUUCUUAACUACUUUUUUGGUUCUAUGAUGUCACAUUACUUUUAAAAUCUCUUAAAUUUUUUAUUCAAAUCAUUUUAAAAUAUUUAUUUAUAAUUUUUUUUAAAUAAUGAAAAAUAAUUAAUUAUAUAAUUUUAAAUUUCAAAAAAAUUUACAACAGAGAAACUCUGAGAUAAAGUGGGUUCCAACGGCGUAGUGGGGUUCUAUUGUGCACCAUAUAAUCCCACUACAUUUACAUUUCUAUUAUAUACUAUUCCUAUUUUUUUUUCUUACUUUUUUCUUCCCUCUUUGCUUUCCCACCCACCUCCUCCCUCCUUUCUUCUUUUCUCUCUUACCCCCACCUCCUCCGCCCCCGAUCGGGGUCCCUUGACCGCACAAAUCUCUUAUUUGACCACCAUAAUCGUCGUCAGCCACCGAUCUGACCUCCAUCCCUCUUUUGUAAUUAUUUUAUUUUUUAUUAUUUGUUUAAAAUUAUAUUGUUAUGUUAUUGUAUUGGAUUGUGGUCUAUUGUUGGUGUUAUAUGUUCUUCUUCUUCUUCUUUUUCGCAACAAUUAGUUAGGACUUAGGAGAGAAACAAUAAAAAACAAUUUAAAAAAAUUACAGAUAUUUAGGAUUCUUCUAUAAGAACCAAAUCUUCGACAUGAAGAUCUUAAGAGAGGGUCUCCAGUAGCUAGAUCUUAGACGAACAAAUCUUCAGCUUAAGAUCUCUCUAGGAUCUUGAGAUGACCUAAGAUGAGAAUAAAAGAUUCUUUUUCCCAAUUUCACCUUCUCUCUCCUAUAAUUUUUCAAAAUACACCAUUCUCAAAAUAAAUGCUUGAAAUGAACCUAUUUUUACUAUCGGUGAGAAGUCGGUUUUUUUUUUUUCCAAUUACACCUUGACCUUCUUUCUCCUAUAAUUUCUCAAAAUACACCACUUUCAAAAUAAAUACUUGAAAUGCACCUAUUUUUACUGUUGGUGAGAAGUUGGGUUUAGCAAUCCCGAAUUCUCAACCUGCAUGUUUUUUUUAACUUUAAUUUGUUUUAAUUUUUUAAGAAAAGAUUUUUAAGGAGGUUAAGAAGUUGGGAAUUCACUGCCUAAUUCCCUAACUUUAUUUUUUUAAAAUAUUAUAUUUUUAAAAAAAAUGAUUUUAUUAAAUAUGAUUUUUUUGCUUAUAUUACUUAAUUUUAAAAAAUUGAUAAUAUUUUUGGCUUAAUAAUAAUUAAUUUAUACUAGAAUACAUUACAUCAUAAAUAAAAUACAUGAAUAAUAAUAUGUCUUUGGCUUAAUAAUAAUUAAUUUAUAUUAUAAUACAUUACAUCAUAAAUAAAAUACAUGAAUAAUGAUAUUUGUCUAAGGGAAAUUUGUUUGUUAUAACCUUGUUGUCAGCAUAUUUCAUAUUUUUUUUUGUGGUAUCCCAUUCUAUUUCUUUGUUCAUUUCAGUGGGAAUGCGAUUGAACGACCCUUUGCACUCCUUCUUCUCCUCAGAUUGGAUUAGGACCCAUUGAUCUCCUUCAUAUUCUUGUCACAUUAAUUUGUGUGGUGAUAAACCAAAGGAGUUAUCGUAAACAUUAUGUCCUGUAAAGUAAAUAGCGGUGUAACAUAGUUCAUGGGAUCAACAUUGACAGAUUUACAGACAAUCAUAAUGUGAGAACAUGGUAAUUGUUUAGCCUGAUAUUCACCACAAUCACAAUUUUGAGAUUGUAAUAUGAUUCUAAACCUUCCAGGUGCUCUGGGUGUUUGAAAUGGGGCUUGGGUCUCUUACCAUAAAUGUGUGGGUGUGUUUGUCAAAUUCAUUCAUUUAACAAUGUUUGUAUUUGAUCCUUGCUAACUAUUAUUCUUUGCCUCCGAGACGACUUUGGAAUAUUGUGAGUCGGAGUUGAUCAUUGCUUGGGUGUGUCGGCCUCUAACAGCAAAAAAAUUUGCGAUCUUGAAGUACAUUGCAGUCUUAAAAUAUGUCUCCUCAACCAACGAUGAUGACACUGGCAUUUCUUGUGCUUUUGAACAUAGAAUUAACCAACUCAGACAACAAAUUUAUAGUCAUAUGUCCUCAACAUUUCCCCUCAUCGAAACAUUGUACCCAAUAUUUUUUGGGUCACUGAUCCAGUCAUUCAGCUACAAACACUAGUCAAUUUAAUAUGUUAUGAAAUUUGAAUUAAAAUAUAAUUUAACAAAAAAAAAUAAAGAUUUUCACUAGCCUGCAUGAGUGGUUUCUUCAAAUGUUUGCAGUUCCGGUUACCCGUGAAGAAAUGGGAAGUGUCCUCAACCCAUAAGUUACUUGGGUUGUGGUAGACACUUAUAAUCAAUGGGUGCCUAUAUGAAAUGAGAGAAAUGCUACUUUGUGGAGUAUCCUGCCUUCUCAAAUUUUGAUGGAAAACCCUAUGCUGAAGUUGACUCCCCUUCUACAAUGGCGUAGGCAAUCGGGAAGAUAUGGUUAGCAUUGUCUUGUGUUUUCGCUAUCAAUAAUGUGUCAGUAUACUUCCCCUAAAGACAUGUACCAUCUACUUGUACGAUGGGUUUGCAAUAUGCAAAACAAACACAGUAAUGCAUGGACCGAAUGACCAAAACACACUUUUAAGCAUUUUUUUUUGCCAAGUACUAUUUCUCUUUCUUCAAACACGGAUUUUGUUUGAGCAACAAUCAUAAUCCCAGGAACACAACAUUGCAAAGCUCCCAAAACUUUUGGUAGCUUGACAUACGAUUCUUUUCCAUAAUCAUCUCCAACGCUUGCUAACCAUGUCAUUUUGUAGGAUAGAGUAUAAUUCAUGAACUUUUUAAUCUUUGUAAUUAAUGUUUUGAUGGAGAUUGUUGGGUUCAUUUUGACAAUGGGUUGGAUGAUCUACGUUAUGAUGUGUUUGUCGAGUUGCCUAUGAUCCUGUCUAAGCAUUGGUGCGAGACAAGUGCGAUGACCUCUGAUAUUCUUGAUAAUUCAUUUCCUAUGCAUCUUUGAAUUGCAUGCGCCCAAUCUCCAUGUACAACCAUUUUCAUGUGAUUUACAUACGAAGUUUAGCCUUUUCUGGUCAUAAUGUAUUGUUUUGCAGUCAAAAUGAUUUCUGAUGUUGUAUUCUUUGGCUGCUCGAAUACAUUGUGAUUUUUCAUCAAAGGUUGUGCCAACCUUGAGUGCACCAGUUGGUGGUUGUGCACAAUCUUAUUGUUGAACGAAAUGGUGAUGAUCAAUGUAUUGUGGUAGGUGGUCAAGGUUCAAUUCCACUGAACACUUAGGUUAGUGAUAUUGCUUUGGUCAAGGUGACGUUGGUUCGACAACACCCUCGUCAUUGCUUUGGUCAUUAUUAUGAUGAAACAACUCUUGAUCCUCAUGCUCACUGAAAUCAUCCAUGUUUUCUUCGUGACAUUGUAUAAUGAGAUCUCCAUUACUGAUGGGAUGUUCAUUUGGGUUUGAUGUUUGUGUUUGUGUUUGUUUGUUAGUCGAUAUUCACAACUUAAUUUUGUAUUGAAUAUUUGCACAAAAUUAGAGCCUUACCUCCAAUUUAUGGUUCUUUUUGUAGGAAUUGUACAUAUUUUCAUGUUUAGUGUGAUUUUACAUAUUAGAUACUCACAUUUUGUGAAUUAAUGUUGAAACCACUUCAGUUUCAGGCCAAAAGAAAAAAAGGUUCAAGUAGCUGAUGUCUUGCUAAGCGAGGCAGAUCCGUUUAGCGAGUGACAUCCGCUAAGCGAGGCAUACAGCUUGCUUAACAGGUUGGGAAACCCUAGAAGAGGAUUAGUCAAAGAUGUUCUCGCCCAGCGCGCCGCCAGCUCACCCAGCGAGUAGGUUGUCUCUUCUCACGCUUAGCGUGCCCAGCUCGCUAAGUCAAAAUUCAUUUACUCUCGCUAAACGAGCCUUCAGAAGCUGAAACGUCCAAGAAGCCUUUAAAACACUAAAGUUGGCAAAAACUAAAGGGGGAGUCGAAAUGCAGAGCACAAGGAGAAGCUGAAGCAACAGAAAUAGAGCUGCAAAGAGAGCUUAGGUUAGAG